Molecule: long non-coding RNA, 938 nt
Filed under: Danio rerio (zebrafish)
Lineage: Eukaryota; Metazoa; Chordata; Actinopteri; Cypriniformes; Danionidae
Description: lncRNA si:dkey-11k1.3 (ENSDARG00000097977.2)
Source: RNAcentral
AACCACCUCCAUUUCUCCAUCUUUCGGCUAAUUUUCCAUCCAUUCUACAGAUCGCAGCACUGCAGAGCUAGAAUAAGGAUACCAGCCUGUCAACACUACUGUCAACAGCUUCUGACUGGAAGGUGAGGUUAGCGGAGAGGAUUACCAGGACUACCCUCCCCUACAUUCAGGAUAUUGCACCACAGUGAACGCUUAUCCCGGACCAGAAAUAUUCUAAAGGGUGCUACUCACCCCCACCAGGGACUAUUCUUCCCAUUAACUUCUGGGAAGAGGUAAACAGCAUUAAAUGCAGUACAGGUUCUGUAGAAGCUUUCUGCCACUGGCCAUCAGAAUGUUAAACUCUUAAAGGGUCACAAUGUAUUUAUUUAUGUUUAUUUUCUUAGUUUUUUUUUUUUUUACUUUAAAACUUAUAUGCACUAUUGUAAUUUGAACUCACUAUAUAUACUGCACUCAAUUUAUAUGUGCUCAACAUAACUGAGUACACCUCAUUUCGAAAAUGAAUAUUUUUUUAAUCAAUUUCUCAGUGAAUAUCAUUCAUAUUUUGGUGCAUUUGAACAAUCAGAUUUAUUUAAAUAAUAUUUUAGUAACAUCUUCAGAAAUAGAAAGAUAAUAAAUUUCAAUUCAUGCAAAAUAUUGGGGAAGAAAUUUGCAAAUUACAAAGUUUCAACUAAAUGUAUACAUUUUUCUGUUUCUCUUGAAUUUUGGGCAAAUAUCAUAAGUCAUUUUGUUCGAUUAUCUCCGGAUUUGGGUUUAGUAGUGACCAAUCCAAUGUAUGUGCACAAAUAUAAUACUGUGAAGCUUCCUAUACAAAAAUUUUCACUUAAAUGAGAGAUUUGUGAGAGGUUUUCUUAUAUAUGCUGUGCACUGUGGAGCCAAUGCUACAACAUUUGUUCGGAGUAUAUACAUGUGAAUGAUAAUAAAGUACUUGACUUGUUUUC